GGGCCGUUAGCUCAGUGGUAGAGCACCUGCCUUUUAAGCAGGGAGUCGCAGGUUCGAUUCCUGCACGGCCCA
This 72-nucleotide transfer RNA is filed under the name Candidatus Latescibacterota bacterium. Its description in RNAcentral is "tRNA-Lys". It matches the Rfam family "tRNA". From Rfam's summary of the family: Transfer RNA (tRNA) molecules are approximately 80 nucleotides in length. Lineage: Bacteria; Pseudomonadati; Candidatus Latescibacterota. The record is from RNAcentral. RNAcentral also lists the same sequence under 1 other name.